CAGUCGCCGCGGUAAUACGUAGGGUGCGAGCGUUAAUCGGAAUUACUGGGCGUAAAGCGUGCGCAGGCGGUUGUGUAAGACAGGUGUGAAAUCCCCGGGCUUAACCUGGGAACUGCGCUUGUGACUGCACAGCUAGAGUAUGGCAGAGGGGGGUGGAAUUCCACGUGUAGCAGUGGAAUGCGUAGAGAUGUGGAGGAACACCGAUGGCGAAGGCAGCCCCCUGGGCCAAUACUGACGCUCAUGCACGAAAGCGUGGGGAGCAAACAGGAUUAGAUACCCGCGUAGUCCCUGUCUCUUAUAA
RNAcentral lists this ribosomal RNA (301 nucleotides) under uncultured bacterium. RNAcentral describes it as "partial 16S ribosomal RNA". It matches the Rfam family "Bacterial small subunit ribosomal RNA", at positions 509 to 809 of the family's 1533-position model. The record is from RNAcentral.